Molecule: ribosomal RNA, 515 nt
Filed under: uncultured bacterium
Lineage: Bacteria
Description: partial 16S ribosomal RNA
Rfam family: Bacterial small subunit ribosomal RNA
Source: RNAcentral
GAUGAACGCUGGCGGCGUGCCUAAUACAUGCAAGUCGAGCGAAUGGAUUAAGAGCUUGCUCUUAUGAAGUUAGCGGCGGACGGGUGAGUAACACGUGGGUAACCUGCCCAUAAGACUGGGAUAACUCCGGGAAACCGGGGCUAAUACCGGAUAACAUUUUGAACCGCAUGGUUCGAAAUUGAAAGGCGGCUUCGGCUGUCACUUAUGGAUGGACCCGCGUUGCAUUAGCUAGUUGGUGAGGUAACGGCUCACCAAGGCAACGAUGCGUAGCCGACCGGAGAGGGUGAUCGGCCACACUGGGACUGAGACACGGCCCAGACGCCUACGGGAGGCAGCAGUAGGGAAUCUUCCGCAAUGGACGAAAGUCUGACGGAGCAACGCCGCGUGAGUGAUGAAGGCUUUCGGGUCGUAAAACUCUGUUGUUAGGGAAGAACAAGUGCUAGUUGAAUAAGCUGGCACCUUGACGGUACCUAACCAGAAAGCCACGGCUAACUACGUGCCAGCCGCCGCCGUAA